GGGGGCCAGAAUCAAAAAUUCUUUGCCAAUAUCGAUGUCAAGGAGCAUACCCCUUACGUUUUUUCUAGGAGUUUCAUGGUUUCAGGUCUUACAUUCAAGUCUUUA
Molecule: non-coding RNA, 105 nt
Organism: Ceratotherium simum simum (southern white rhinoceros)
Lineage: Eukaryota; Metazoa; Chordata; Mammalia; Perissodactyla; Rhinocerotidae
Source: RefSeq, a predicted model, not a curated record